Long non-coding RNA from Actinia tenebrosa (Australian red waratah sea anemone), 398 nucleotides. RefSeq lists it as uncharacterized. The record is from RefSeq and is a predicted model, not a curated record. Lineage: Eukaryota; Metazoa; Cnidaria; Anthozoa; Actiniaria; Actiniidae.
GAAUCAUUAUUUCACAAACUCUGUUCGAAAUAUAUGAGAACAAAAUAGUAGAAUCCUCGGCUAUUCCGACCACAGCAGAACUGAAAAAACCGUAGUCCGAAGCACAUAGCAGGUUUCCUACCUAUUUUCACUCACUUCGUUUGUCACUGCGGUUUUCGCUGCUGUCAAUCAAAAAUACAAUACAAUUGAUUGAAGUAUUCCCAAGAUUUACAUGAGUAAUAUACGAAAGCUGCAAAAGAGUUGCAGAUGAAUGGAUCAAUACUAUUAAAAAGAAAUUUUAUUUUCUUUGAGUCGUCAAGUUCAGAAAAUUGAUGAUAAUYGUUGUUUAUUUGAUUGAAAAGUUUGUUUCUUUCAGUAGCAUAGUGAUUACAUGAUAGUAUAAAGUGCAAUUCAUCUUC